RNAcentral lists this long non-coding RNA (508 nucleotides) under Homo sapiens (human). Lineage: Eukaryota; Metazoa; Chordata; Mammalia; Primates; Hominidae. The record is from RNAcentral.
GCCCUAGGACAAAGCCGCCCCUGUCCCGGACAGAGUGGAAUAAGAGCGCCUCCUUCAAUCCCCACUCGCGCCUGCACCCAGAGCACCUGGGACACAGCGGCUCUGUCUUGGAGAACAGAAUGAAGCACCCCAGUUCUCUGCUGAGCACAUGGGCAUCUGCAAUAAAGAUUUAAUUUCCCAGCUUCUCCUGAAGCUCGGUAUGGCCACAACACUAAAUUCUGCCCGAGGAGAUUAAGCAAAAUAGUAUGGGACUUCCAAGAAAUGUUUUUAAAGUCAGGGGCAGGCCUUUCUUCAUGCCUUCUUCCUCUUUGCUGGCUGGAACGCAAAGACCAUGGCAGGAGGCCAAGCAGCCAUCCUGGAAGGUGAAAGCCUCAUACUAAGGACGUCAGACAGCGAAAUAAGAGCCUGGGUCCUUGACCCUGUAGACAUCUCCCUCCCCAUCCUGGUCUGUCUGCCUUGACUCCUUUCAUAUGAGAGAAAUAAACUUUUAACUUGCGUAAACCAGAAA